Molecule: ribosomal RNA, 385 nt
Filed under: uncultured bacterium
Lineage: Bacteria
Description: bacterial SSU rRNA
Rfam family: Bacterial small subunit ribosomal RNA
Source: RNAcentral
UACGGGAGGCAGCAGUGAGGAAUAUUGGUCAAUGGACGAGAGUCUGAACCAGCCAAGUAGCGUGAAGGAUGACUGCCCUAUGGGUUGUAAACUUCUUUUAUACGGGAAUAAAGUGAGGCACGUGUGCCUUUUUGUAUGUACCGUAUGAAUAAGGAUCGGCUAACUCCGUGCCAGCAGCCGCGGUAAUACGGAGGAUCCGAGCGUUAUCCGGAUUUAUUGGGUUUAAAGGGAGCGUAGGCGGACGCUUAAGUCAGUUGUGAAAGUUUGCGGCUCAACCGUAAAAUUGCAGUUGAUACUGGGUGUCUUGAGUACAGUAGAGGCAGGCGGAAUUCGUGGUGUAGCGGUGAAAUGCUUAGAUAUCACGAAGAACUCCGAUUGCGAAGGC